Molecule: transfer RNA, 73 nt
Filed under: Tauraco erythrolophus (red-crested turaco)
Lineage: Eukaryota; Metazoa; Chordata; Aves; Musophagiformes; Musophagidae
Rfam family: tRNA
About the family: Transfer RNA (tRNA) molecules are approximately 80 nucleotides in length. Their secondary structure includes four short double-helical elements and three loops (D, anti-codon, and T loops).
Source: Rfam by way of RNAcentral
GCCCAGCUAGCUCAGUCAGUAGAGCAUGAGACUCUUAAUUUCAGGAUCACGGUUUCAAGCCCCAUGUUGGGUG